Molecule: ribosomal RNA, 543 nt
Filed under: Cladosporium cf. flabelliforme F9
Lineage: Eukaryota; Fungi; Ascomycota; Dothideomycetes; Cladosporiales; Cladosporiaceae
Description: partial 18S ribosomal RNA
Rfam family: 5.8S ribosomal RNA (bases 214-367)
Source: RNAcentral
UUUGGAAGUAAAAAGUCGUAACAAGGUCUCCGUAGGUGAACCUGCGGAGGGAUCAUUACAAGUGACCCCGGUUUUACCACCGGGAUGUUCAUAACCCUUUGUUGUCUGACUCUGUUGCCUCCGGGGCGACCCUGCCUUCGGGCGGGGGCUCCGGGUGGACACUUCAAACUCUUGCGUAACUUUGCAGUCUGAGUAAAUUAAUUAAUAAAUUAAAACUUUUAACAACGGAUCUCUUGGUUCUGGCAUCGAUGAAGAACGCAGCGAAAUGCGAUAAGUAAUGUGAAUUGCAGAAUUCAGUGAAUCAUCGAAUCUUUGAACGCACAUUGCGCCCCCUGGUAUUCCGGGGGGCAUGCCUGUUCGAGCGUCAUUUCACCACUCAAGCCUCGCUUGGUAUUGGGCAACGCGGUCCGCCGCGUGCCUCAAAUCGACCGGCUGGGUCUUCUGUCCCCUAAGCGUUGUGGAAACUAUUCGCUAAAGGGUGUUCGGGAGGCUACGCCGUAAAACAACCCCAUUUCUAAGGUGACCUCGGAUCAGGACGACCAG